GGCAGGCUGGCGGCGUGCUAUASAUGCAAGUCGACGAACUCUGGUAUUGAUUGGYGCUUGCAUCAUGAUUUACAUUUGAGUGAGUGGCGAACUGGUGAGUAACACGUGGGAAACCUGCCCAGAAGCGGGGGAUAACACCUGGAAACAGAUGCUAAUACCGCAUAACAACUUGGACCGCAUGGUCCGAGYUUGAAAGAUGGCUUCGGCUAUCACUUUUGGAUGGUCCCGCGGCGUAUUAGCUARAUGGUGGGGUAACGGCUCACCAUGGCAAUGAUACGUAGCCGACCUGAGAGGGUAAUCGGCCACAUUGGGACUGAGACACGGCCCAAACUCCUACGGGAGGCAGCAGUAGGGAAUCUUCCACAAUGGACGAAAGUCUGAUGGAGCAACGCCGCGUGAGUGAAGAAGGGUUUCGGCUCGUAAAACUCUGUUGUUAAAGAAGAACAUAUCUGAGAGUAACUGUUCAGGUAUUGACGGUAUUUAACCAGAAAGCCACGGCUAACUACGUGCCAGCAGCCGCGGUAAUACGUAGGUGGCAAGCGUUGUCCGGAUUUAUUGGGCGUAAAGCGAGCGCAGGCGGUUUUUUAAGUCUGAUGUGAAAGCCUUCGGCUCAACCGAAGAAGUGCAUCGGAAACUGGGAAACUUGAGUGCAGAAGAGGACAGUGGAACUCCAUGUGUAGCGGUGAAAUGCGUAGAUAUAUGGAAGAACACCAGUGGCGAAGGCGGCUGUCUGGUCUGUAACUGACGCUGAGGCUCGAAAGUAUGGGUAGCAAACAGGAUUAGAUACCCUGGUAGUCCAUACCGUAAACGAUGAAUGCUAAGUGUGGGAGGGUUUCCGCCCUUUCAGUGCUGCAGCUAACGCAUUAAGCAUUCCGCCUGGGGAGUACGGCCGCAAGGCUGAACUCAAGGAUUGACGGGGCCCGCACAGCGGUGGAGCAUGKGGUUUAAUCCGAAGCUACGCGAGAGCUUUACAGGUCUGGACUUACUAUGCAAUCUAGAAGAUAGACGUUACGUCCGGACCUUGAUUACAGUGUGCAUGAUGACGUCAGCCUCGGGAGC
Molecule: ribosomal RNA, 1059 nt
Filed under: Lactiplantibacillus plantarum
Lineage: Bacteria; Bacillati; Bacillota; Bacilli; Lactobacillales; Lactobacillaceae
Description: bacterial SSU rRNA
Source: RNAcentral